Euroglyphus maynei is the source of this 124-nucleotide non-coding RNA. The record is from Rfam. Lineage: Eukaryota; Metazoa; Arthropoda; Arachnida; Sarcoptiformes; Pyroglyphidae.
AACCCCCGGAUUACGAGAGAACUUUGGUCGGUACCUUCGUAUAUCCAGGGGUCAAAAGCAGGCGCUGGCCUGCAAUGAGUAUAGCCAUGAAGCGUAUCCAAGAUCAACAUCCCCUGCCGACCUU